Molecule: ribosomal RNA, 2770 nt
Filed under: Alphaproteobacteria bacterium
Lineage: Bacteria; Pseudomonadati; Pseudomonadota; Alphaproteobacteria
Description: 23S ribosomal RNA
Rfam family: Bacterial large subunit ribosomal RNA
Source: RNAcentral
CAAUCAAGCGCAAAAGGGCAUUUGGUGGAUGCCUUGGCACUGAGAGGCGAUGAAGGACGUAGCACACUGCGAUAAGCUACGGGGAGCUGUGAGCAAGCUUUGAUCCGUGGAUUUCCGAAUGGGGAAACCCGGCCCGCAAGGGUCAUCCUGCACUGAAUACAUAGGUGUAGGAAGCAAACCCGGCGAACUGAAACAUCUAAGUAGCCGGAGGAAAGGACAUCAACCGAGACUCCGCUAGUAGUGGCGAGCGAACGCGGACUAGGCCAGUGGCCAUACGUUAAGAACCGGAACCGUCUGGAAAGUCGGGCCAUAGUGGGUGAUAGCCCCGUACGGGUAGAAAGACGUUUGGUCCUCGAGUAGGGCGGGACACGAGAAAUCCUGUCUGAACAUGGGGGGACCACCCUCCAAGCCUAAGUACUCCUCAGUGACCGAUAGUGAACAAGUACCGUGAGGGAAAGGUGAAAAGCACCCCGAUAAGGGGAGUGAAAUAGUUCCUGAAACCGGAUGCCUACAAGCAGUCGGAGGGAGAGUUGUCUUCGGACAACGGCUUCUGACGGCGUACCUUUUGUAUAAUGGGUCAGCGACUUAGUCUGUGCAGCAAGCUUAAGCCGUUAGGUGUAGGCGCAGCGAAAGCGAGUCUUAAUAGGGCGAUUUAGUUGUACGGAUUAGACCCGAAACGUGGUGAUCUAGCCAUGGGCAGGUUGAAGGUGGGGUAAGACCCACUGGAGGACCGAACCCACCUAUGUUGAAAAAUGGGGGGAUGACCUGUGGCUAGGGGUGAAAGGCCAAUCAAACCACGAAAUAGCUGGUUCUCCGCGAAAACUAUUUAGGUAGUGCGUCAUGUUUUACCGUCGGGGGUAGAGCACUGGAUGGGCUAGGGGGGCGCGAGCCUUACCAAACCUAACCAAACUCCGAAUACCGACGAGUACAAUCAUGGCAGACAGACUAUGGGUGCUAAGAUCCAUGGUCGAAAGGGAAACAGCCCAGACCGCCAGUUAAGGUCCCCAAAUAAUGGCUAAGUGGGAAAGGAUGUGGGAAGGCCAAGACAGCCAGGAGGUUGGCUUAGAAGCAGCCAUCCUUUAAAGAAAGCGUAACAGCUCACUGGUCUAAUUAAGCCGUCCUGCGCCGAAGAUGUAACGGGGCUUAAGCCAUUUACCGAAACUGCGGGUGUGUUGAAUCUUCGGGUUCAAUACGCGGUAGCGGAGCGUUCCGUAGGCCUGUGAAGGCGUGCCGUGAGGCAUGCUGGAGGUAUCGGAAGUGCGAAUGCUGACAUGAGUAGCGACAAAGAGUGUGAGAAACACUCUCGCCGAAAGCCCAAGGGUUCCUGCGCAAGGUUAAUCCACGCAGGGUGAGCCGGCCCCUAAGCCGAGGCCGAAAGGCGUAGGUGAUGGGAAUCAGGUUAAUAUUCCUGAGCCCGCUGGAAGUGACGAAUAUCGUAAGUUGUCAGUCCUUAUUGGAUUGGAUCUGGCAGUGAAGGUGUUCCAGGAAAUAACUCCAGCAUAUGGACCGUACCCCAAACCGACACAGGUGGGCAGGUAGAGUAUACUAAGGCGCUUGAGAGAACGAUGUUGAAGGAACUCGGCAAAAUACCCUCGUAACUUCGGGAGAAGAGGGACCUUUUCUUGGGCAACCAGGAAGAGGUGGCACAGACCAGGGGGUGGCGACUGUUUACUAAAAACAUAGGGCUCUGCUAAGUCGUAAGACGACGUAUAGGGUCUGACGCCUGCCCGGUGCUGGAAGGUUAAGGAGAGAGGUGAGAGCUUUGAACCGAAGCCCCAGUAAACGGCGGCCGUAACUAUAACGGUCCUAAGGUAGCGAAAUUCCUUGUCGGGUAAGUUCCGACCUGCACGAAUGGCGUAACGACUGCCCCACUGUCUCCAACAUUGACUCAGCGAAAUUGAACUCUCCGUGAAGAUGCGGAGUAGGCGUGGUCAGACGGAAAGACCCCGUGCACCUUUACUACAGCUUCGCAGUGGUAUUAGGGAAUGGAUGUGUAGGAUAGGUGGAAGGCUUUGAAGCCGAGGCGCCAGCUUUGGUGGAGCCACCCUUGAAAUACCACCCUUCUGUUGUCUGAUAUCUAACCGUGCCCCAUGAACCUGGGGCCGGGACCCUGCGUGGCGGGUAGUUUGACUGGGGCGGUCGCCUCCUAAAGAGUAACGGAGGCGCGCGAUGGUGGGCUCAGGCUGGUCGGAAAUCAGCUGUAGAGUGCAAUGGCAUAAGCCCGCCUGACUGCGAGACUGACAGGUCGAGCAGAGACGAAAGUCGGUCAUAGUGAUCCGGUGGUCCCGCGUGGAAGGGCCAUCGCUCAACGGAUAAAAGGUACGCCGGGGAUAACAGGCUGAUACCCCCCAAGAGUUCACAUCGACGGGGGUGUUUGGCACCUCGAUGUCGGCUCAUCACAUCCUGGGGCUGGAGCAGGUCCCAAGGGUAUGGCUGUUCGCCAUUUAAAGUGGUACGUGAGCUGGGUUUAGAACGUCGUGAGACAGUUCGGUCCCUAUCUGCCAUGCCAGUACGAGACUUGAGAGGAGCUGCCCCUAGUACGAGAGGACCGGGGUGGACGUACCUCUGGUGUACCGGUUGUCGCGCCAGCGGCAUCGCCGGGUAGCUAAGUACGGAAGGGAUAACCGCUGAAAGCAUCUAAGCGGGAAGCCCACCUCGAUACUAGGUCUCGCUUGAGAGCCGUGGAAGACCACCACGUUGAUAGGCUGGAUGUGGAAGUGCGGUAACGCAUGGAGCUAACCAGUACUAAUUGCUCAAUCGGCUUGAUUGC